GACGGGGACCCGCACAAGCGGUGGAUGAUGUGGAUUAAUUCGAUGCAACGCGAAAACCUUACCUACCCUUGACAUGUCCGGAAUCCCGAAGAGAUUUGGGAGUGCUCGCAAGAGAACCGGAACACAGGUGCUGCAUGGCUGUCGUCAGCUCGUGUCGUGAGAUGUUGGGUUAAGUCCCGCAACGAGCGCAACCCUUGUCAUUAGUUGCCAUCAUUUGGUUGGGCACUCUAAUGAGACUGCCGGUGACAAACCGGAGGAAGGUGGGGAUGACGUCAAGUCCUCAUGGCCCUUAUGGGUAGGGCUUCACACGUCAUACAAUGGUCGGUACAGAGGGUUGCCAACCCGCGAGGGGGAGCUAAUCCCACAAAGCCGAUCGUAGUCCGGAUCGCAGUCUGCAACUCGACUGCGUGAAGUCGGAAUCGCUAGUAAUCGUGGAUCAGCAUGUCACGGUGAAUACGUUCCCGGGUCUU
This 470-nucleotide ribosomal RNA is filed under the name uncultured Rhodocyclaceae bacterium. RNAcentral's name for it is "bacterial SSU rRNA". It matches the Rfam family "Bacterial small subunit ribosomal RNA", at positions 912 to 1382 of the family's 1533-position model. Lineage: Bacteria; Pseudomonadati; Pseudomonadota; Betaproteobacteria; Rhodocyclales; Rhodocyclaceae. The record is from RNAcentral.